Molecule: long non-coding RNA, 2077 nt
Filed under: Anolis carolinensis (green anole)
Lineage: Eukaryota; Metazoa; Chordata; Lepidosauria; Squamata; Anolidae
Description: lncRNA (ENSACAG00000044806.1)
Source: RNAcentral
AAAUUGCCUUUUAAAAAAGAACAACUUAUUUCUAUCAACUAGCUUCAUCACAUGAUCUUUCUGGCCAAUAAGAGGGUAUGGCUUUGCUUGGUCUCAUCAUUUCCUGCUCUCUAAAUAUGGGCAUUGGAGGUAUUAUCAAAAAUCAACUCUCCCUCCCCUAAUAACAAUAACUAUAAAUAUAUAACAGAUCUCAGCUGGGUCUCAGCCCCAGCCCGACCCCAAACAUUCCAGGGAGGAUUAAACCCUGCAGACCAUAGACAAUGCUCUUCCAAAGAAGGCAAUGGCCCCAUUCCCCUUAUAGAGGUUUGAACUGACAAAACAUUUUAGGCUUCUCUUAAGUCUUGAUUCAGGUUUAUGCUUUAUUAAUAAACAGAUAGGGGAGAAGACUCACAUAUAUACACAAAAGCUGGGGUACCAGCUUUUUGAGAAGAUACCCCCGGUCUAUCUUCCUUCAGGAAACAACUGAAGACUUGGAUGUUUCAGCAGGCUUUCGGAGAUACAGUCAUUAAUUAAUCAGCCCCAGAGAGUUUUUAAGAAUCUAUCCUGUAUUUAUUACGGUCUUGCCUUUUAUGUGUUUUUAAUGUAAUUUUUUAUCCUGUAUUGUUGUUUUAAUUGAUAUAUUGCAUUACUGUUUUAUCUGUUUUAUAUUAUGACUAGCUGUGCCCGGCCACGCGUUGCUGUGGCGAAGUAUGGUGGUAUGGGAAAUAAAGUAUUGAGGAAUUGGUGGUAGUUAAGGUAAAGGGUCCCCUGGGCUGAGUGGGUUGCUAGGAGACCAAGUGAGCGGAGCUUAGCCUUCUAACUGGCAGCAAUUGGAUAAAAACAAUUAUUCCUCUCCCUCUAAUUAGGACUUUAUUUUUCUUUUCUUUUUGUUGUAUCAACCUAGAGGCAUGGAUGAGGGGUUGUGCUGUCAAUUUUUGAGGUUGUGGGGUGUUUACUUUUGUUGUUUUGUCCGCUGCCAUGAUGCCAUCACUCUUUUAUAUAUAUAGAUUAUUAUUAUUAUUAUUAUUAUUAUUAAAGUUGUGUAAAAGUGCCUUCAUUCAAUCGUGUGGAUGCACCCAAAGUCUGAUGCUGCUAUUGUUUUUGUUGUUGUAUCAGUAGACAGCAAAACUGUGUAGCAAGCACACACUUUUUUGGGCCUCGACUUCUUAUUUCAUGCACAAAUCAUGGGAUUUGUACAAACAAAAUAUAACCAGAGAGGUCUCUGCAUUGAACAAUGUUCCCUGAGACUUUGACAUUUGAACAACAACAACAAAAGUCUUAAUUGCUCCUCUAUCAAUCUCUCAGGCUUCCUUGAGGUCCAAGAAUCCCAUUAUUAUUUGCAGAGAAAGAAGCGGUGCCAAAAGUUCCAACUUUGUGCCAAACUGUAAUAGCAAUGAUAUUUGAUAGGACCUGGCAGCAUAAUAAUACUGAGAUACUUUGCAGAAAGCAUCUUCCUUCAUUUGCAAUCUGAUGUGCUCCUUGCAAGUGUUUCUGAUGGGUAUUUGCUAAAACAGAAUGUAAUGUAAACCAUAGUUUUUAAAGUAUAAUCGCUUUGGUGUGGUGUUUGAACUAGUUUAUUCUUGACUUAAGUGUGCCAGAAAUCAAAGCCUCAGGGUUCAACUCACUUUUGGGUUCUCCCCCAUGUUCUUAUAGCACUUGUAACUUCCUCCAUGUUUACAAGUCUCACUUACUGCACUUUGAUCAGCCCAUCCUUAUGUUUUAUUGCUGCAUUUUAACUUUGUCUUAUUAAUGGUUUGAUUUUAAUUGUACUUUUUUAAUUUUCAUUCGUGCGUUCUCGGUAUUUCAUGUUUUUGUAUGUAUACUUGUUUUGCAUUUGUAAGCCGCCCUGAGUCCCUGCGGGGAGAUAGAGGCGGGGUACAAGAAUAAAAUUAUUAUUAUUAUUAUUAUUUUUAUUAUUAUUAUUAUUAUUAUUAUUAUUAUUAUUUUAUUAUGACACAGCAAACAAGAUAGACAUGCUGGAUUUCAUAUCACAAAAUCACAAGUCGAACACUUCCCAAGCGUCUAGGACUGUGUAAUGUAUUUUCGGAUGAUGCGUGCAGAUCCCAGUAGGGUGGCCUUUUGCAGUUGGCAGAUCGUA